This 465-nucleotide ribosomal RNA is filed under the name uncultured bacterium. RNAcentral's name for it is "partial 16S ribosomal RNA". It matches the Rfam family "Bacterial small subunit ribosomal RNA", at positions 28 to 507 of the family's 1533-position model. The record is from RNAcentral.
GACGAACGCUGGCGGCGUGCUUAACACAUGCAAGUCGAACGGAAAGGCCCCCUUGUGGGGUACUCGAGUGGCGAACGGGUGAGUAACACGUGAGUAACCUACCCUUGACUUUGGGAUAACUUCAGGAAACUGGGGCUAAUACCGGAUAGGAGCUCCUGCUGCAUGGUGGGGGUUGGAAAGUUUCGGCGGUUGGGGAUGGACUCGCGGCUUAUCAGCUUGUUGGUGGGGUAGUGGCUCACCAAGGCUUUGACGGGUAGCCGGCCUGAGAGGGUGACCGGCCACAUUGGGACUGAGAUACAGCCCAGACUCCUACGGGAGGCAGCAGUGGGGAAUAUUGCACAAUGGGCGGAAGCCUGAUGCAGCAACGCCGCGUGCGGGAUGACGGCCUUCGGGUUGUAAACCGCUUUCGCCUGUGACGAAGCGUGAGUGACGGUAAUGGGUAAAGAAGCACCGGCUAACUACGUG